RNAcentral lists this long non-coding RNA (612 nucleotides) under Naja naja (Indian cobra). RNAcentral's name for it is "lncRNA (ENSNNAG00000004663.1)". Lineage: Eukaryota; Metazoa; Chordata; Lepidosauria; Squamata; Elapidae. The record is from RNAcentral.
GGGGCAGCGGAGAUUCCUGCUCUUCGCGAGGGGAGGGAGGGCGAGCGAGCAUCUAGGGAGGAAAAAGAGUUUCUCUGCCUUGGCUCUCUGCCUUUGCUGAGCGGCGUCUCCUCCUUCCGCACCCGACCUCCUGAGCUCCGAAGGUCUUGGAAAAAGGUCCGCUUUUUGCCAAGAACAGCUGCAAUAAAUCUAUGCAGGAGGCGGGAAAUGGCUGAAGCCUGAAGGCAACCAAUGGUUUUGUAAGAUCUCUUGUUAUCUUGCCUUUGCGGUCAUGAGCCAACUGAUGAGUAACGAGUGCCAGCUGACUGCAUUCCACUUCACUCCAACAGCCUCAGAAAGGCAGGGAGCCUUUGAGCCAAGGCUCUUAGACAGGUAGGAAAGGUUUUCUAUUUCUGGCCGCUUGUCUUCGUUGGGUAAGGAAGACUAACAAGGUAAGGAAAACAGCUUCACCAGAGACUCAAGCAAAAUAACUGGCGCUUCUGCCACACAGUCCAGCAGUGCAGGGGCCUCUCCUUGGAUACACAACCUCCUGAGCUCUGGAGCUCUUGGAAAGGCAAGUGAGCAAUCAGUGAUGGGAGCAAUUUGUGGAUGCAGGGGGUGGGCUCGGAGAUG